This 253-nucleotide ribosomal RNA is filed under the name uncultured bacterium. RNAcentral's name for it is "partial 16S ribosomal RNA". It matches the Rfam family "Bacterial small subunit ribosomal RNA", at positions 524 to 776 of the family's 1533-position model. The record is from RNAcentral.
UACAGAGGAUGCAAGCGUUAUCCGGAAUUAUUGGGCGUAAAGCGUCUGCAGGUGGCUGUUCAAGUCUGCUGUCAAAGCGCAGAGCUUAACUCUGUACAGGCGGUGGAAACUGAAGAGCUAGAGUAUGGUAGGGGUAGAGGGAAUUCCCGGUGUAGCGGUGAAAUGCGUAGAUAUCGGGAAGAACACCAGUGGCGAAAGCGCUCUACUGGGCCAUAACUGACACUGAGGGACGAAAGCUAGGGGAGCGAAAGGG